Molecule: long non-coding RNA, 3631 nt
Filed under: Taeniopygia guttata (zebra finch)
Lineage: Eukaryota; Metazoa; Chordata; Aves; Passeriformes; Estrildidae
Description: lncRNA (ENSTGUG00000019782.1)
Source: RNAcentral
CUUAGUGUCUGAUUUGGUAAGGUUGUCUUCCUGAGAAACUGGGAGAGUGGCUCAUGGACAGCUUGGAAGGUUGGUCUGUCAGAGCACAUGUCAAGAAAACAUACUCUGUUUUAAAGGCAUCUUGUUUCAGUUUGGGGGGCUUUUUGUUUGGUUGGUUUUUUUUUGUAGUUUUGUUUUUCAUUUGGGGUUUUUUGUUUGUUUUGUUGGUUUGUUAUUUAACCUUCCAACAUUCAAUAGCUUUAUUAUUAAUCUGCCAGAGUGGGUAGGACGUGCGGGGAAGCCCUUGCCCAUGUGCUCAUGCAAGGAAGCGUUUUGGGCAGGUAUCCUUACAGCAGGAACUGCAGAGCUGAAGCUGCAGCUUACAGCAACACACUGUCCUUCUGUAGCUCUGUUCUUCUGAGCCACAAAUCUGCCCUUGCUCUGCCUUUUGAGGCCACUCAGUUCUGUGCUGCUUCUGCUGCCAGCUGGUUUCUGCACUAAGUCUACUGGCACUUGAGUCAUGAAAGCAUGGACUUUGUUGGGUAUGAACUUAUGGGAAAAACCUACUGGGGAGUCUAAGGAAACAGCCCGUUUUAGUAAGCAGUGUGGAUCAAAUGGUAAAAUCACUUAUUUUACUGUUAGAAAGCUUAUGCUUGGUAAGGAACAUCCUAGUACUGUGUUCCCAGCUCAGCCCUGCUGCAGGGACAAUGCUUCUGGCCCUCUCUCCACCAGGGUGUUGUUCUUCUGUCACACACAUGAAGAAGCUCACAUUUAUCUGCAGUACAGCCCCAGGUGUGGGCCAUACAGGUGGAAUAAAUGUGCUUGCACUGGUACAUGGCACACACAGCGCUGUUGCAUUGCUCACAGAGGACCAUCUGUACCAGGCUGUGCAAACCAAGACUGGAGUUAAAGCUGCUGUUGCUGUACUGAGUCUUAUCAUUCUCUUCACUGAUACAUGAAAAUCCAAAAUACUGGGUAGUUACAGCUUGACAAUCCUGAUGUGGUUUUCUCCCUACCUAAUUUUCAAAAUACUUGUUUAAUUAUAGCAACCAGCAAAAAGCCUGACACUUCUGCAACGGAGAGCACAAGAGCUAUGGGAGUGUCAUUAAAGCUGAACUUCAUCUCAUGGUUUGGUGUGGUUAUCCUUAUGCCUGAUUUUAAGUUAUCUCAGAAAAUCAGACAUUAAGGAAAGCCAGCUGCUUCUGUUAAAUAAACUCCAUUGUCUAAGACUUAAAGGGAGCAAACCAGCCAGGUGGAGUUAUUGAUCUGUGAAUCUCAGCUGGCCUGGCCUCCCAGGCAGGGCUCUCCUGCUCCCUGUAAUUGCCAGCACCUACAGGGAGAGCUGCUGCUCUGCUGGCCUUGGCUUCCCGAGCUGCAGACACUUUAUUGCCAACAAGGCAGGGAAGCUGUCAGUGAAAGAACUCCCUGUGGAAACUUUAGCUCGGGUGAAGACAAUGGCAAAAAUCCCACAACUUGUGUUGUGGUGUGUGUGUGUUAUAUCAGCCCUGACACAAUGCAGGAGGGAGUUCUUUGUCUCACUUCAUCAGCUGAACAAUCUGAAGCUGCUCUGUGGAUUUGCCUACUGAACUGGAUGCUACCUGCUUUUUUGCAAUUUAUUGCUUUGUCUCCAGCAUUAAGAAAUCAAUGAAAUUAUACCUCGAAAUCCACAAGGUAACUGUUUUCUACUUUUAAAAUUGAUCAGUUUCUUGGUAAGGAACAUAAAUAAUUAUUCUUUUAUCUCUGGUCUGUUUUAAGCCUGAUGAAAAAAAAAAAAAAAGACCAGACGUGAACAAACACAAAACCCCAAAAACAUUGUGAAAUUAAUUAAGAAAUUAAUUUGAAGCGUUUAUAUUUUGGGAUGGGAGACUGAAGCUUUGAUUUGCUUUGAAGUGGUAGCUAUAUUGGAUUUAUAUUGCUUUGUUUUGCAUGUUUGGAUCCUAUUUGUUCAUUUGUGUUGUAAUACUUUUAAGUAUAAGCCAACAUUUCAGAAUAGGACAUUUGGAUAUUAAUAUGUAUUUUGACUUGGGUGAUUUGUUUGAAAAUCAUUCUGUUCUGACCUGUAUUUUAAAAUGAUAAUUUGCAGUUGAUCGCAGCUUCUAAAAAUUGCAGUUCUAGAGUGCGUUUUAGGGCACCAUCUUCUGGCAGACAGCACACAGUGUAUUUGAACGGCUGCCCUCGCUAGGCACAACUAUUUAAAAUAUUUCUGACUAACACCACUCCGCAGGCUUACAGGUCAUUUCUCAUUCUAAAUCUGCAAUAAAACACUAUUUAACAUUUUUUACAUUCUUCUUAUUCACUGCAACUGCAGCUAUUCACUGUGCUGCACAAACAUAACUUGGGACAGACCCUGUAAAAUUCCAGUCACAACAGGCGCUUUGUCAAAGUGCUGGGGUAGACAGACAACAUCUGUCCAAGCACUUAUGAUUAAUGCACCAUAUAUGUAUCUUAUUUCUUUUAUAGCUUCAUCUUCCACUUCUCUUACAUAUUUCAGAUAAUCACACUUCUGUACAGCACAGUUUAUGGGCUCAUACUUUGGAGGCUGCACAGGGCACUGGCCAUAAUUCCUUGCACUCACAGGACACAGUCACUGUAUAUUCCAAUGCAAUCAGUUAGCAACCACUACAUUUGCAUAAAUCCAUCAUUUACUUGGCCAGCUCAGUUAGCAGUGCACCCACUGAGUACUUUUAAGGAGGUCUGAAGUUGUAUGGCUUCUGAUUUCAGAGACUUGGAGGAGCUACACUUUCUCUUGAUACGAUAAAAAUAAAGUCCUGCUUACAACACUGCAAACCUUCAUCCAGUGAAGGAACCAGAAAGCUUUAGUGCACUGAAUAAAGGACAGAAACACUGUAUGAGGGUCAGGCUGCCAGACAUGCAGCCCCCUCUGCUCUGGUGGUGAGAAGUAUCAGCCUGACCGAAUGUGCCUCUUCAUACCCAUUAAAGAAUUGAGGCAGGCUACGAGCACUGACCUCCUGACCUGGCAACACAACACACUUCAGCUGUGAUGAGAAGGAUCAUUUCAGAAGGAAGAGGACAUUGGUUUGUUAAGAACACCAGUUACAUUUACAUUUUGCUGUAUUUUAGAGGUAUUAUAGAGGUAUCACUCGUUAACUGAAAAUGAUAAACUAAUGUGCAAGGAUAAAGCUGCUCCAUAAGUGUAGCUAACAAAGUCUGGUCUCUGCAUUCUGCAUCCUCUGCACUCUCCAGCUUGUAGCUGCUCUCCAAAUCCCCAGUAAUAUGCAGUCCAGUGAGCCCCGUGUCCCACAGAGCUCUGGCCCUGCACUUCCCAGCAGCAAAGGUGGCAGUCCCACAUCUCCAAAGCCAAAGUGCUGCCACAGAACUUUCUGGGCGUCUGUCCCUUCUCCAGCAUUGCAGAGUUGAAAUUGCUGUACCUUUGCAGGUUUCUUCAAAUGUUGCUGAAGAGGACUGGGAGCAAUUCUGUAUCUUCUCUUCUGAAAAUUGUUAUGCAAACUUCCAACUUUCUCAUGAGAGUGAAGAGUCUGCCACUGGGAGAGAGCAAGAUAACAUGUAUCUAAAUAGCAAUUAUCUUCUUUCAAUGUAAUAGAUAUCAAGCUGUAUCUACACGUACAUGUAAUUACUUCAUCCUGUUCUCCCUUAAAAGCAUCAAGGCUUCCAAAAAAAAAAAAAAAAAAAA